GGUGUGUUAGCUCAGCUGGGAGAGCACCUGCCUUGCACGCAGGGGGUCAUCGGUUCGAUCCCGAUACGCUCCACCA
RNAcentral lists this transfer RNA (76 nucleotides) under Holdemanella biformis. Its description in RNAcentral is "tRNA-Ala". It matches the Rfam family "tRNA". From Rfam's summary of the family: Transfer RNA (tRNA) molecules are approximately 80 nucleotides in length. The record is from RNAcentral. Lineage: Bacteria; Bacillati; Bacillota; Erysipelotrichia; Erysipelotrichales; Erysipelotrichaceae.